AUUGAACGCUGGCGGCAGGCCUAACACAUGCAAGUCGAGCGGAUGAAGGGAGCUUGCUCCUGGAUUCAGCGGCGGACGGGUAAGUAAUGCCUAGGAAUCUGCCUGGUAGUGGGGGAUAACGUCCGGAAACGGGCGCUAAUACCGUAUACGUCCUGAGGGAGAAAGUGGGGGAUCUUCGGACCUCACGCUAUCAGAUGAGCCUAGGUCGGAUUAGCUAGUUGGUGGGGUAAAGGCCUACCAAGGCGACGAUCCGUAACUGGUCUGAGAGGAUGAUCAGUCACACUGGAACUGAGACACGGUCCAGACUCCUACGGGAGGCAGCAGUGGGGAAUAUUGGACAAUGGGCGAAAGCCUGAUCCAGCCAUGCCGCGUGUGUGAAGAAGGUCUUCGGAUUGUAAAGCACUUUAAGUUGGGAGGAAGGGCAGUAAGUUAAUACCUUGCUGUUUUGACGUUACCAACAGAAUAAGCACCGGCUAACUUCGUG
RNAcentral lists this ribosomal RNA (484 nucleotides) under uncultured bacterium. Its description in RNAcentral is "partial 16S ribosomal RNA". It matches the Rfam family "Bacterial small subunit ribosomal RNA", at positions 30 to 507 of the family's 1533-position model. The record is from RNAcentral.